Molecule: ribosomal RNA, 253 nt
Filed under: uncultured bacterium
Lineage: Bacteria
Description: partial 16S ribosomal RNA
Rfam family: Bacterial small subunit ribosomal RNA
Source: RNAcentral
UACGAAGGGGGCUAGCGUUGCUCGGAAUUACUGGGCGUAAAGCGCACGUAGGCGGCUUUCUAAGUCGGGGGUGAAAUCCUGGAGCUCAACUCCAGAACUGCCUUCGAUACUGGAAAGCUCGAGUCCGGGAGAGGUGGGUGGAACUGCGAGUGUAGAGGUGAAAUUCGUAGAUAUUCGCAAGAACACCAGUGGCGAAGGCGGCUCACUGGCCCGAUACUGACGCUGAUGCACGAAAGCGUGGGGAGCAAACAGG